GAACACUACAAGCAAUAGCUUAAAACUCAAAGGACUUGGCGGUGCUUUAUAUCCCUCUAGAGGAGCCUAUUCUAUAAUCGAUAAACCCCAAUUCACCUCACCAUCUCUUGCUUAGCUUAUAUACCGCCAUCUUCAGCAAACCCUACUAAAGGUUGCAAAGUAAGCACGAGUAUCUUCAUAAAAACCUUAGGUCAAGGUGUAACCCAUGAGAUGGUAAGAAAUGGGCUAUGUUUUCUACCCCUAGAAAACCCCACGACAACCCUUAUGAAACCUAAGGGCCCAAGGAGGAUUUAGCAGUAAAUUAAGAGCAGAGUGCUUAAUUGAAUAAGGCCAUCAAGCAUGCACACACCACCUGUCGCCCUCCUCAAGAAUAUUUUAAGGAUUAACUUAACUAAACCCUCUAUGUAUUUAUAUAGAGGAGAUAAGUCAUAACAUCGUAAGUGUACUGGAAAGUGCACUUG
This 461-nucleotide non-coding RNA is filed under the name Macaca mulatta (Rhesus monkey). The record is from Rfam by way of RNAcentral. Lineage: Eukaryota; Metazoa; Chordata; Mammalia; Primates; Cercopithecidae.